AACGUAGGAGGCAAGCGUUAUCCGGAGUUACUGGGCGUAAAGCGCGUGUAGGUGGAUCGGUAAGUUACUUAUAAAAGCUCCUGGCUAAACUAGGAGAGGUUGAGUGAUACUGCCAGUCUUGAAUAGAGGAGAGGUUGACGGAAUCCCGCGUGUAGUGGUGAAAUGCGUAGAGAUGCGGAAGAACACCAGUGGCGAAGGCGGUCAACUGGCCUCAUAUUGACACUCAGACGCGAAGGCAUGGGUAGCGAACGGG
Molecule: ribosomal RNA, 253 nt
Filed under: uncultured bacterium
Lineage: Bacteria
Description: partial 16S ribosomal RNA
Rfam family: Bacterial small subunit ribosomal RNA
Source: RNAcentral